UCCUGGGGGUGUCUAGAACUCCCCUGAGUCCACGCCGCCGCCUUCGCCUCAGCCCGUUUCUCAGUCCAAAUGGCAACUGACCCCCUUCCACCACCCGUGCCCCGCCCCCGGCCCCGCCUCCCGGCUCUGGGGACGCGGCAGCUGCCUCAACGAGCUUUCCCAUUGGGUCUACUUCUCUCCUCCAGAACUCUGCUGAUUGGUUUUGGUGUAUGAAUGAAAGGGUCAUUUACCAAUAAGAGUGGGGUGAGGUUUGGCAUGGAGGGGGCGUACUUCGCUGAGGAGGAAAAAGAAUUGACAGCCUUUGAGGGACUGUAUGCUGGGGUCACUCUCAGAAGAAACAUUCCUCUCUGCUCCCUUCUGCCUUCAGACCAAAACUUGGACUGGAGUCUGUUAAGAGAAAUGGAUAAAACUUAAUUAAAAUAGAAGAAUCACAUUCAGUACUUAGCCCAAUCAAUUUUGGAGGUCAUUUCCUCCCAAACUUAACGCCAGACUCUGGAAACCUAAUACUGCCUUGGAGAUAACAAAUAAUAUUCAAGGCCUGAACAACUGGGAGAAAGUCUAAUCUUGUCAGACAAAGAAAGGAAAAUAAAUAAAUAAAUACAU
Long non-coding RNA from Erinaceus europaeus (western European hedgehog), 603 nucleotides. RefSeq lists it as uncharacterized. Lineage: Eukaryota; Metazoa; Chordata; Mammalia; Eulipotyphla; Erinaceidae. The record is from RefSeq and is a predicted model, not a curated record. The transcript is spliced from 3 exons.